CGUGCGACGGCGGCAACCAAAAUUCCCCAUUCUUCCUACCUCUGCUCCUCCCUGCGAGCUCCCUCCGCCGUAGCGCUAUUGCUCGGCGGCCGCCACAUGCGUGGGUCGCGUUGCCAGAUUCACCUAGAUCCGCCCGGAGGACGUCAGAGCAGCAUCCAUGGAUCCCCGCGCCUGCAGACGCCGUCGAAGGCCGCUUGUUCAUCGUCCGCUCCGGCGGAAACCCUCGAACCUGCAACCAUCGACGCCCGAGCGAAUGGAGGCCUCCUUGAUUUUUCUCCACAGUGUCCAGGCUGCGGGGAUGUAUCGGGCACCAGGAAUCCCCGGUAAUGCUCUCGUCGUUGACUGGCUUACCCGGUUGCCCCUGCUCACGCUGAUCUGCAACACGUGUUGAGAUCGAGAGGAACAGGGGGUGCUGCUGCUUGGCUCCUCAUCCAUCGAUGGGACAACGUCACAGCGGCAUGUGGUGGUGUGUGGGUGCUGUAUAGCUGCUAGGAAGCAGGGUAAAGGAGAGUCCACGGCUGCUGAUUGGUGGCGUGAAGGGGAGCUGGUGGCCACGGAAAAUUGUGGAGUACCUGCUGUGCCUCGCGGAAGUGGGAACAAGAUGGCGGCGAUAGAAUUUUCUCGAUUUGUGAGGUUUUCCAUUAGGGCAAGUAUCUUCUUUUAUACAAUGGAAAAGACAUGUUUUUUGCCUUCUUUCAGAAGAAAAAUUGACGUCCAUGCAUGUUUUCCAUUAGGGGAAGUAUCUUCUUUUAUUCAAUGGAAACUACAUGUUUUUUUGCCUUCUUUCAGAAGAAAAAUUGACCUCCAUGAUAUAUCCACGGUCUACAAAUAAUUUGUAGGUAUAUACCUACAUGCCAGGUAUGCACAUACGUAGGAUUUUUUUUUUCAUUGUUUAUACCCUCGCUACUACUGAAGUAGAAGCUAACCAAGAUGGCUCUCAUGUUGGAUCGACUGAUUGUAGAUCUCAUGUUUAAAUAUGUGAGCGAAUUUGCAAAAAUCAAGCAAAAAUUCGCUGGUUAACUGUCGAUCAGGUGAUCAGGUCCUAUUACAUCACAAUCUACAUGUGAGUGAUAUUAGUAUUUGGUAUUACAGUCAGAAAUUGCUAGUCUCCAAGUAGAAUCAGAGAGGAAAAGGGGUUUAUAAAAUUAGAUGUCUCCAUGGGCUUACCUCGCAUGAUAUGUCAACCAUAGCAGAAGUGACGUACAUGGAGAACCAACCUGUGAUUGGAUGGUUAGGAGGGCAGU
Molecule: long non-coding RNA, 1244 nt
Organism: Lolium rigidum
Lineage: Eukaryota; Viridiplantae; Streptophyta; Magnoliopsida; Poales; Poaceae
Exons: 3
Source: RefSeq, a predicted model, not a curated record